Molecule: ribosomal RNA, 484 nt
Filed under: uncultured bacterium
Lineage: Bacteria
Description: partial 16S ribosomal RNA
Rfam family: Bacterial small subunit ribosomal RNA
Source: RNAcentral
GACGAACGCUGGCGGCGUGCUUAACACAUGCAAGUCGAACGGAAAGGCCCUGCUUUUGUGGGGUGCUCGAGUGGCGAACGGGUGAGUAACACGUGAGUAACCUGCCCUUGACUUUGGGAUAACUUCAGGAAACUGGGGCUAAUACCGGAUAGGAGCUCCUGCUGCAUGGUGGGGGUUGGAAAGUUUCGGCGGUUGGGGAUGGACUCGCGGCUUAUCAGCUUGUUGGUGGGGUAGUGGCUUAACAAGGCUUUGACGGGUAGCCGGCCUGGGAGGGUGACCGGCCACAUUGGGACUGGGAUACGGCCCAGACUCCUACGGGAGGCAGCAGUGGGGAAUAUUGCACAAUGGGCGGAAGCCUGAUGCAGCAACGCCGCGUGCGGGAUGACGGCCUUCGGGUUGUAAACCGCUUUCGCCUGUGACGAAGCGUGAGUGACGGUAAUGGGUAAAGAAGCACCGGCUAACUACGUGCCAGCAGCCGCCGUAA